UGGGGAAUAUUGAACAAUGGGCGCAAGCCUGAUGCAGCCAUGCCGCGUGUAUGAAGAAGGCCUUCGGGUUGUAAAGUACUUUCAGCGGGGAGGAAGGCGAUAAGGUUAAUAACCUUGUCGAUUGACGUUACCCGCAGAAGAAGCACCGGCUAACUCCGUGCCAGCAGCCGCGGUAAUACGGGGGGUGCAAGCGUUAAUCGGAAUUAAUGGGCGUAAAGCGCACGCAGGCGGUCUGUCAAGUCGGAUGUGAAAUCCCCGGGCUCAACCUGGGAACUGCAUUCGAAACUGGCAGGCUAGAGUCUUGUAGAGGGGGGUAGAAUUCCAGGUGUAGCGGUGAAAUGCGUAGAGAUCUGGAGGAAUACCGGUGGCGAAGGCGGCCCCCUGGACAAAGACUGACGCUCAGGUGCGAAAGCGUGGGGAGCAAACA
RNAcentral lists this ribosomal RNA (427 nucleotides) under uncultured bacterium. RNAcentral's name for it is "partial 16S ribosomal RNA". It matches the Rfam family "Bacterial small subunit ribosomal RNA", at positions 355 to 774 of the family's 1533-position model. The record is from RNAcentral.